RNAcentral lists this long non-coding RNA (629 nucleotides) under Rattus norvegicus (Norway rat). Its description in RNAcentral is "long non-coding RNA NONRATT030669". The record is from RNAcentral. Lineage: Eukaryota; Metazoa; Chordata; Mammalia; Rodentia; Muridae.
AUGGGGCAAAGCAAGGAUUCUGGGUCAAUCUCACAUUCCAGAAGCUAAAACCUGUAGAUUCUCCUUUAGAACUCCCACGAUAACCACACUCUGUGCUUGCUAGCAUGGGCUGCUUGGCACAGCAGUAGUAAGUGGAUGACUUACCUCUUAUGCAUAUCUGACUUUUCUCCACCUUCUUCCCUAGGUUUGUUAGAGUGCUGUGCUAGAUGUCUGGUAGGGGCCCCCUUUGCUUCCCUGGUGGCCACUGGAUUGUGUUUCUUUGGAGUGGCACUGUUCUGUGGAUGUGGACAUGAAGCUCUCACUGGUACAGAAAAGUUAAUUGAGACCUAUUUCUCCAAAAACUACCAGGACUAUGAGUAUCUCAUUAAUGUGUAAGUACCUCACACCACCUCCAGACUCAUCUCUUUUUCCCUCACCCUCACCCUCACCCUCACCCUGUCUUGGAGGUAGAGCUUAUCAACUUGAAGCUACAUAGCUUUCCUGACUUAUCCCUCUGGGUACAGGUUCUACCAUGCCAUGUUGGAAGCUCUUAAGGAAGGGGACAAUGUCAGACUUAGAAAGGAGGUCUGCCUCCACUCACUCCUCCCUGUGUUUUCACACAUGGCCCAAUUUCUGCUAGGUAUGUUUAA